UACGGGAGGCAGCAGUGGGGAAUAUUGCACAAUGGGCGCAAGCCUGAUGCAGCCAUGCCGCGUGUAUGAAAAAGGCCUUCGGGUUGUAAAGUACUUUCAGUCGUGAGGAAGGUGUUAAGGUUAAUAACCUUAGCAAUUGACGUUAGCGACAGAAGAAGCACCGGCUAACUCCGUGCCAGCAGCCGCGGUAAUACGGAGGGUGCGAGCGUUAAUCGGAAUUACUGGGCGUAAAGGGCACGCAGGCGGUUAAUUAAGUUGGAUGUGAAAUCCCCGGGCUUAACCUGGGAAUGGCAUUCAAGACUGGUUAGCUAGAGUCUUGUAGAGGGGGUAGAAUUCCAUGUGUAGCGGUGAAAUGCGUAGAGAUGUGGAGGAAUACCGGUGGCGAAAGGCGGCCCCUGGACAAAGACUGACGCUCAUGCGCGAAAGCGUGGGGAGCAAAACAGGGAUUAGAUACC
RNAcentral lists this ribosomal RNA (455 nucleotides) under uncultured bacterium. Its description in RNAcentral is "bacterial SSU rRNA". It matches the Rfam family "Bacterial small subunit ribosomal RNA", at positions 340 to 786 of the family's 1533-position model. The record is from RNAcentral.